GUCCUCAAUCAUCAUCAACAAAUAAUUAAAAUUGUGACAAUUCAUAAACAUGUUAAAAUAUGAAAAUCUUUAUGAAAAAAUGUUUCUUGUUUACAUUAAGUAAAUUUUUCAGAACUGAAUAUGCAACAAAAACAUAUCAUGAAUAUAUACAAAACAAUCACAUGUAAAGUAUACAUCAUAGCAAUGCAUGUCAUGAACAAAAUAAUAUUGUAUCCAUCAUUGUAUCAUAUAUGGAACAGAACCGUUAAUCUCUGAAUGAUAUGAGGUUGCAAAUAAAAAGCACAAUGGGGGAGAUUAACUAACUAUAAAACUAGGUAAAACCAGGUAAAACCUAGUAGUUUCUUCAGUUAAUACCUGUCCCAAGUCAGAAAUAUGAUAAUCGUUUCCCAAUAAUUCAGAAUUUAAUCGAAGAUAAUAAAGUCUAAAGCUUGAAUUUGUCAGUUUUUAAUUGACUUCCAUUUUUUCAAUAUUUCUCGCAGUUGAUUACGUCUUUAUUUUUUUUAUCUUUAUACUAUUUUUUCUAAUACUGUUUGUAUUCAUCAUAAAAAAUUGGCAAUUUACAACAUAGUUAAUGAAGUUCAAUCUUGGCUUUUUCUUCAUAAACUAAAUAUUGUCUUAUUUUUAUUCGCACCUUUGGUAACUUUCCUUUGCAUUAAUGUGCAAUUCCUUUAUAAACUUAACAGCACAGGAUUCUUCUACAGUAAAUUCAAAUAAUGAUCAAUGAAAGGUCAAGGCUAUUGGUGCAAAGUUCAUACAUCAAUAAACUAUAUAAACAAUUUAUUUUUAAUUAUACAAAUAAUUUUUAUAUAAGUGGGACUAACAAUUGUCUACAUUAAAUACCUCAGAACACCUGAAGAUCUAUAUCCCCUGUGUCGGAAUUCUAACUUUUGAAAUGGGUUUAUACAUAUUUAAUAAAAAUAUUCUGGUACCUUGGUGACCACCAAAUAACUAAUAUUUGACAUACUAAUACAACAUUGCAACUGGCAUCAUAUGCAUGGCAAUAUAGUCAUGUACAUGAUGUAGCUUAUAUAAAUGAAGUGCCUGUGAUAUACAUGAUAUAUUAAGAGUUUCUACCUUGUCUGUUAUAUCAAAUUUUUUAGUUCAGAAAAAAAAGAGAAGAUGUGGUAUGAUUGCCAAUUAGACAACUCUUCGCAAGAGACCAAAUGACACAGAAAUUAACAACUUUAUGUCAGCGUGAAUAUACAUAUCUAAAAAAAUAUUGUUCCUGUAAGCUAAGAAAUCAAUAAACAUGAUCAAUGUGAGUUUAUGUUUUUGCUAUAACCCAAUACCGUCACAAUGAUUUCAGAAUUUAUAGUACUUCAAUAUGCAUUAUCCAACCAUAGGUUCCUUUUGGGAGGAAACAUGUGUUAUAAGUUAAUGUGUUCUGUUGUAACAAGUAGUACUAUGUAGUAUUUUGGCUAAUUCUGUUUUCCCUUUUAAAUUAUUAUGUGAUUUACUUAUUAAUCUCAACUUAUAGAUCUGAAUACGAAAUGUUCAAUCUAUUAGAUCUAGAACUUACAGUAAACACAACUAUUGCCCAUUUGCAAUCUUGCUGAACAUUCUGGGGAAGAGGGACAAAGGGUUAACAUGAUGAGGGUUUAUGUGCUUAUAAAUAAUAUAAAUGAUAAAUCAUAUAAAUAUAAAUCUAAGUAAGCACUAAUGACAUUGCACGAUUGCACCAAACAGAUGACAAGACACAGAAUGUAAUAUACCAUGUAUACAGGACACUUUCAUUUAUAAAAUUCAUUUUAAGUCAACAUGGUCAAGAUAAAAAUUAAAAACAAAUAUUUGUUAAUCAAAUU
This 1802-nucleotide long non-coding RNA is filed under the name Mytilus galloprovincialis (Mediterranean mussel). Lineage: Eukaryota; Metazoa; Mollusca; Bivalvia; Mytilida; Mytilidae. The record is from RNAcentral.